GAGCGAAUCGAUGGGAGCUUGCUCCCUGAGAUUAGCGGCGGACGGGUGAGUAACACGUGGGCAACCUGCCUAUAAGACUGGGAUAACUUCGGGAAACCGGAGCUAAUACCGGAUACGUUCUUUUCUCGCAUGAGAGAAGAUGGAAAGACGGUUUACGCUGUCACUUAUAGAUGGGCCCGCGGCGCAUUAGCUAGUUGGUGAGGUAAUGGCUCACCAAGGCGACGAUGCGUAGCCGACCUGAGAGGGUGAUCGGCCACACUGGGACUGAGACACGGCCCAGACUCCUACGGGAGGCAGCAGUAGGGAAUCUUCCGCAAUGGACGAAAGUCUGACGGAGCAACGCCGCGUGAACGAAGAAGGCCUUCGGGUCGUAAAGUUCUGUUGUUAGGGAAGAACAAGUACCAGAGUAACUGCUGGUACCUUGACGGUACCUAACCAGAAAGCCACGGCUAACUACGUGCCAGCAGCCGCGGUAAUACGUAGGUGGCAAGCGUUGUCCGGAAUUAUUGGGCGUAAAGCGCGCGCAGGUGGUUCCUUAAGUCUGAUGUGAAAGCCCACGGCUCAACCGUGGAGGGUCAUUGGAAACUGGGGAACUUGAGUGCAGAAGAGGAAAGUGGAAUUCCAAGUGUAGCGGUGAAAUGCGUAGAGAUUUGGAGGAACACCAGUGGCGAAGGCGACUUUCUGGUCUG
RNAcentral lists this ribosomal RNA (689 nucleotides) under Bacillus sp. FJAT-4601. RNAcentral describes it as "bacterial SSU rRNA". It matches the Rfam family "Bacterial small subunit ribosomal RNA", at positions 64 to 736 of the family's 1533-position model. The record is from RNAcentral. Lineage: Bacteria; Bacillati; Bacillota; Bacilli; Caryophanales; Bacillaceae.